This 364-nucleotide long non-coding RNA is filed under the name Ananas comosus (pineapple). RNAcentral's name for it is "long non-coding RNA (ACOM_LNC008926)". The record is from RNAcentral. Lineage: Eukaryota; Viridiplantae; Streptophyta; Magnoliopsida; Poales; Bromeliaceae.
GGUCGUAGCGGGUAUCUUCCCAAUUGAUGAGCUCCGGAGUUGUCAUCACUGGGUCGUAGCGGGUAUCUCCCCAGAGGACGGUCCCAUCGGGUUGUAGCGGGUAUCUCCCCGAUUAUUGGGAUUUGGUUGGUGAGUUUUAAGGCGAAACCUACGGAUUAGCUGAGCUGAUUAGGUAUUGAUUGUGGCAAUUGCCAUGCACCAUGAGCAAUACAUAGGUUGGUUCUCCUCGCCCAUUGGGCGAUGUGGUUUGAGGAUUUAAGGUUGAGGUGUAUGUGAGACGUCCUUCACCUUGUGCCUGACAGAGCGCGGCAUAUCCGCGGGUGAUUGACUCUAGACCGAGUCGAGCGGCAUAGUUGGCUAAGGU